UGGCCUUGAAUUCGUAGGCUCUAAAUGCGCAACCUAUGGAGGUGCAGAUGUAAGCCUCUUGGAAUGGAGCAUCAAAGAGGGUGAGAGUCCUAGUUUGUCAUCUGCAGUCCUCUGUGCUCGGUGUGCAAUUUCAAAGUCACGUUCCUUGGGAUUGGAGCGUAAAGGGGGUGGUAAAUUUCAUCUAAAGCUAAAUAUUGGUUUGAGACCGAUAGCAAACAAGUACCAUGAGGGAAAGGUAAAAAGGACUUUGAAAAGAGAGUUAAAAGUGCCUGAAAUGGCUGAAAGGGAAGCGAAUGGAACAAGUUAUCCUUGGUGAGAUUGUUGUACACGAAAUCAAUGCAAAUGUUGCAGUGGGUUGAGUGUUUCUUGCCUUAUGUGUCAAAUUGGGUUCAAACUUGAUGAAAACGCCUUGGACAUGACACUCUGCUUAUGGGCGGACAAAUGUGCAGGGUUGAACUCAGAUGACAACAUGGUUACAUUCGACCCGGCAGUUCAUGAGUGGGAAACUUACUUGCGCAAUGAAAGUGACAGCUGGGAUGGUUGCACCAGCCACCGACCAAUCACUUGUGAAAGGUUUGAGUAUGAGCAUAUAUGUUAGGACCCGAAAGAUGGUGAACUAUGCCUGUGAAGGGCAAAGUCAGGGGAAACUCUGAUGGAGGCUUGUAGCGAUACUGACGUGCAAAUCGUUCGUCAUACUUGGGUAUAGGGGCGAAAGACUAAUCGAACCAUCUAGUAGCUGGUUCCCUCCGAAGUUUCCCUCAGGAUAGCUGGAGUUGAACAGUUUUAUCAGGUAAAGCGAAUGAUUAGAGGAAUCGGGGACGCGUUGUCCUCGACCUAUUCUCAAACUUUAAAUGGGUAAGAUCUAGUGGUUACUUGUGUGAACUUCUGGGCUAAAUGACAACUCUAAGUGGGCCAUUUUUGGUAAGCAGAACUGGCGAUGAGGGAUGAACCUAACGUUAGGUUAAGGUGCUUAACUGCUCGCUCAUCAGAUACCAUAAAGGGUGUUGGUUCAUUUUAACAGCAGGACGGUGGUCAUGGAAGUCG
This 1044-nucleotide ribosomal RNA is filed under the name Apicoporus glaber. RNAcentral describes it as "LSU rRNA". It matches the Rfam family "Eukaryotic large subunit ribosomal RNA", at positions 132 to 1263 of the family's 3401-position model. The record is from RNAcentral. Lineage: Eukaryota; Dinophyceae; Gymnodiniales; Gymnodiniaceae.